RNAcentral lists this long non-coding RNA (7923 nucleotides) under Triticum aestivum (bread wheat). RNAcentral describes it as "long non-coding RNA (TAES_LNC005188)". Lineage: Eukaryota; Viridiplantae; Streptophyta; Magnoliopsida; Poales; Poaceae. The record is from RNAcentral.
UUACAAUCGCCACUUCACACAAUACAUGAAUAAAGCAUUACAUCAUCCAAAUACAAUCAAGGUCCAACUACGGAACCAAAAUAAAAGAAGAACCCCAAAUGCGACAAAGGUCCCCGAUUGACCCCAACUGGGCUCCACUACUGAUCAACUAGAAUGAAACAACACAAAGGACAAGGUCUUCAUCGAGCUCCUCCUGAGCUUGGUUGCGUCAUCUGCACGGACUCAUCGGCACUUGCAAGCUGGUUUUGGAAGUAUCUGUGAGCCACAGGGACUCAGCAAUCUCGCACCCUCGCGAUCAAGACUAUUUAAGCUUAUGGGUAAGGUAAAAGGUAUGAGGUGGAGCUGCAGCAAGCGACUAGCAUAUAUGGUGGCUAACAUACGGAAAUGAGAGCGAGAAGAGAAGGCAAAGCACGGUCGAUACAAGUAUGAUCAAGAUGUGAUCCUAAAACAAACUACGUCAAGCAUAACUCCAACACCGUGUUCACUUCCCGGACUCCGCCGGAAAGAUACCAUCACGGUAACACACGCAGUUGAUUCAUUUUAAUUAAGGUCAACUUCAGGUUUUCUACAACCGGACAUUAACAAAUUCCCAUCUGCCCAUAACCGCGGGCACGGCUUUCAAAAGUUCAAAUCCCUGCAGGGAUGUCCCAACUUAGCCCAUCACAAGCUCUCACGGUCAACGAAGGAAUAGACCUCCUCCCAAGACAUUCCGAUCAGACUCGGUAUCCCGGUACAACAAGACAUUUCGACAGGGUAAAACUAAACCAGCAACACCGCCCGAAUGUGCCGACAAAUCCCGAUAGGAGCUGCACAUAUCUCUUUCUCAGGGCACACCGGAUCGUCCAAACUUCCGGUAGGCCAGCCCAGAGUUGNNNNNNNNNNNNNNNNNNNNNNNNNNNNNNNNNNNNNNNNNNNNNNNNNNNNNNNNNNNNNNNNNNNNNNNNNNNNNNNNNNNNNNNNNNNNNNNNNNNNNNNNNNNNNNNNNNNNNNNNNNNNNNNNNNNNNNNNNNNNNNNNNNNNNNNNNNNNNNNNNNNNNNNNNNNNNNNNNNNNNNNNNNNNNNNNNNNNNNNNNNNNNNNNNNNNNNNNNNNNNNNGGGGGGGGGGGGGUAAAAUAAUGAUGACCCUUGGGCGCGCGACCCCCAAGGGAAAAGAAAAAGGCUGGGUGGCGAAUGGUAAAACCAAUGUUGGGCAUUGCUGGAAGAGUUUUACUCAAGGCGAACUGUCAAGGGGUUCCCAUUAUAGCCCAACCACGUAAGGGACGCAAAAUCCGGGAACAUAACACCGAUAUGACGGAAACUAGGGCGGCAAGAGUGGAACAAAACACCAGGCAUAAGGCCGAGCCUUCCACCCUUUACCAAGUAUAUAGAUGCAUUAAUUAAAUAAGAUAUAUUGUCAUAUCCCAACAAGUAAACAUGUUCCAACCAGGAACAACAUCUCCAUGUUCCAACAAGGAACAAAACUUCAAUCUUCACCUGCAACUAACAAUGCUAUAAGAGGGGCUGAGCAAGCGGUAACAUAGCCAAUCAACGGUUUGCUAGGACAAGGUGGGUUAGAGGCUUGACAUGGCAAUUUGGGAGGCUUGAAAGCAAGUGGUAGGCAUCGUAGCAUUGGCAUAGCAAAAUAGCGAGCAAAUCUAGCAUAGCAAAGAUAGUAGUGAUUUCGAGGGUAUGAUCAUCUUGCCUGAAAUCCCGCAAGGAAGAAGAAUCAGUCCAUGAAGAAGAUAAACGGAUGUAUACGAACGGGUCCUCACAAACGCGACGUUACCGGAACCAACCCGAAGAAGCAACACCGGAAAGAAGCACACAACAUAGUAAACAACCACCACAAAAAUCAUGGCAUGAUGCACAACCAAGUAUGAUGCAUGACCGGUUUAAAGAAGCAUGGCAUGGCAAAGUGCACAAGCAAUCCUACAAAUUAAGUGGAGCUCAUUAUGCAACGAGUUGCAUAUUGACGAAAAAAACCACAUGACUUAUUUAGUUCUCUCUCGUUUAUGUACCCAACAAGAUUAAAUGUUGUUAGCAUGGCAAGAGGUGAAACAUAACAAAACUAUACCAUCUAAACAAUUUAAAUGGGGCCGGAUAUAACAAACAACAAAUCUGGUAAAUCCCCAUAUGCAUUUAUCAAUUUGGUGCAACAACAAUUUUAAACAUUUAAAUGUUAUUAUCAUGAUGCGAAUGACAUGAGCAAGUUUUAUGCAAUUUUUAUUAAGAGUUGACAUGAGCAUUAUGAAGCAUUUGGUCGUCAUGGCGGAACAAAAAGGGUGCCAUGCCAACUACCACAGAAAUGGUGCCACGACAACAUUCCGGGUGAUCCGACAACUCAUUGAGAUGUCGGUGCAAGAGAAAAUGUGGAUGAACGGAUCAUGCGAGGAUGGUGGGGUGAUCCCGGAUACCGGGUUUCCCAUGGGUCGACGACAUGGCAACCGAGGAGGAACGUGCAAUGACAACUCGAACACGGUUCGAACAUGAGCAUCCCAAACAUCGCAAGCAUUCGUUACACAGACGUCGUCUCGGGUUAUACCUUCGAAGUGUGCAAACGGGACGGUUCUCGAUUGGUGUCAAGUAGAGCAAGUAGACGUUCUCGGGACGUUCGUAGUGGAAGUAGUGGGGUACACGACGACGGUAGAGGUACUCGCGGCGGUAGUGGUACACGUUUGUUCCGGAGAGGUACUUGAUGACUCCAACGUCUUCGGGGUGACGGUAGUGGUACACGCGACGUCGGGGUACUUGUCGGUCCGGUCUUGGCGGCGUAGAUGUACACGUUGUCGGGGUACUUGUCACAUCAUCGGGUGUAGUUGUACAUGAGGGUCUUGACGAAUCCAAAGGGGUACUUGACGAGUCCGGCCUUGGUGAUUCAGGUUUCGUAGUGUCCUGGUACUUGAUGCAAAGAGGCAACGACUUGGCACGGUUCUGGUGGUCGAACAAGGCAGGGCAGCUCGGCCACGCGCGCUGCGGGCGGCAGAGGACAAGCAGAGGAGUAGCAGCGCGAGGGAAGGCAGCGACGCAGGCAAGGAGCAGCCCCAGCGGCGGAGCUCCAUGGGAGGCAUAGCCAUGCGCGGCUGCUGGAGAUCCUCAAGCAGAGAAGAAGCCGGCAGGCUGUGGUGCCCGGCGGCCCCGGCGACGCGGUAGGGCGGGCGAGCUCGACCCUCGCGCCCAUGGCGGCAAGGAGGAAGACCAUGGAGGAGGAGCAUGGGUCGCGGGCUCCUGGCGGGCAGAGUUAACGCAGGGGAGGCACUGGUUAUGGCGCGGCGGCGGGCUUGCCGGCAUCGGGGAUGAUGCAGGAGAGGAGAGGCCGGCGGCUGCGAUACAAGAAACAACCGAGGCGCAGCUUCUGGCCAUGGCGACGGGGUGGAACGGCGGUCCUCUGAGCUUGGCCGGCAGCGGCCAUGGAGAAUGGCGGUGCAGAGGCGGGGUAGAGGAAGGAGCGGGCGGCGACCUCUGCCAUGGCGCGAAGGCGGAGAUCGAGCGCGUGACUCUCGCUCCUCUCUGGCACACGAGCAGGGGAAGGAGACGAGGGAUGAGGGAGAUCGAGCGGAAGGUAGGCAGCGAGCGAGAGAAAAGGAUCGAGCACAGGGCUCCCUGGCUUGAUGCAAUCGAGAGAAGGACGAGGGAGACUGGCGGCGGCAGGGAACGAGGGGAUGCGGUCGGGAGAGGGUAGUGAGGGGAGAUGUUGGGCCUAGGGUUAGGGACUGCAGCGGGGCGCUGCUGGGGCUUAGAGGCCGCUAGACCUAGGUGGGCCGCGGGGAUGGCGCCUGCCUGGCAGGUUGUAGCUGGGCUAGGAGGCCCAGCCGGGCUCUUCUCUCUCCCAUCUCCUUCUCUUUACAAAAAAAACAAAGAAAAAAAGAAGGGAAAAGAGAGAAGAGAAGGUUAGAGGAAGAGUUUGGGCACGGGGGUAAUUUUUAUGGGCUCAGAAAAAUGUGCACGGUCCGGGAAAAUAGAAAAGGUCAAGUCUGAAAGAUUAAAUUCAAAUUCCUUUGAAUUUAAUUCAAAAGGUUUGAACUGGGACAGGUUUAUCAAAGUGCCCCAAAAUGUUGAGAAUUUAGGUGGAGCUCUGGGAAAUGAUGAAAGAAUAAAUGGCAAGGUUUGAGGUCAAGCUCGAAGAGGAAUAGACAUGGGAAUUAUUUUGCACGUGUGUUUAUGGGUGAUUCCGAAAAUGGAAUAUUUAAUAUAGCUCCAUAAUAUCGGGAGGAUAUGUUAUAAAGAGAAUCACCACGUGAAUUCCCUCGGUUUAAAUGGACCGAAGAUCCAUGCAAUUUCUUUAGUUGAGUUAAGAAAAGAAAUAAUAUGAUGGCGUGAUGGCAUGAUGCAAUGCACAUGAUGCAAUGAUGAAUGCAACAAACCAACAACUCACACGACGAAAACCCGGAAACCCUGGAAGGCACCUGAAGCUCCGGCCUUGGGGCGUCACAACACUCCACCACUAUGAGAGAAUCUCGUCCCGAGAUCUAGAAUGGCACCGGAGGGAAAAAAUGGAAAAUAAAGAGAAGAGGUAAAACUAAGUUGCUUCUUUGACGAAUGAGUGAAACCAAAGAACCUUGCGAGGUUGAAUAACUUGAAAGAAAGAAAAACAACAGAGAUGAACAAAGUUGAAAGCACUCCAUUAAGAAAGAGGAACAAGGAAGAACAAAUUCAGACAACACUCCGAUAUAAAAGAGAAGCAAAAUUUGAUAAGAUGAGAGAACUUGAAAAGAGGGCACGAUACUCCGGUUAAAGGGACAAUCAUAAGAAGAACAUGAUCUUUGAUGAAACAAGAUGAUGGUUGAAGAAAGCAACAUCACAAUGCCUCCGGAAUGAAAGAAUAGAAUAUAGAUAAUUGGAAAAGAAUGGAGAAGAAAAUGCCAUCUUAUGCCACAAAAGAGCUUGAGAAGGCAUCCUUAGGAAACAGGUCGAGCGGAGUUGUUGGAAAACCAACAACGAAAGGAAUAAGCUUGAUAUGGUCUUAUGGAAUACAUCUCAAAUUAUGAGGUGACAACCUGCCACUCACGGGAAGCAGAAUUGGAUUGAUAUGAACAAGGAGACGAGAAACUUAUAUCACCGGGAGGAUAAAUGAAGAACUUGGGUCCUUUAUAAGCACCAUAAUAGCAACAAUCCUUAGGGAAAAAUUUAGGUGAACUAUAACCCAAGAUAACUCAAUUGACGAGAUUGAUGGAUUUAAAAUAUCUCAUCCUUGACAACAUGUGAAUCAUGAAACAUGAACUCAAAUUAUCAAAAAUGACAUAAUACCACCUCUAUUGAUACGGAGGGAAGAAUUGCACUCCGGUUAGCAAGAUGAAGAAAACUUGAGCUCCUCGGAAAAGAAUCUCGAUGAAAACUUCGAGAAGGGAUAAAAUCCUUGAUGAACCAUCAUGUAAAACCUUCAUGAAGAACUCCGGUAAAACAAAAGAAUGAUCAAACGGAAAGAAAGGGUAGUUGAAAACACAAGGUGAAGCCUUGCAAUGAUAUAGAUGGAGCUUCGCGACGAGAUAAUGCGGAAAAGCUUGGAACUCCAGAAAAGAAAAGAUGAAACAAGUUCGACCGAGAAUUUUGAUGACGCUCUGGAAUAAGGAAGUGAAUUUACUCGAUGAAACAAGAAUAAUAAUUACAUUAUGCUUAUCCUUCACCAAUUAAAUUGAUGACAAUCAACGGAUUUGACAUAUUACUUAUUCUCGUAGAAAGGAUUAAGAUAGAUACAGCGCAAACUUGAGAAAGUCUUCCACGAACCACCGGAAGGAUUGAAACAACGAAUAAAUUGAUAUGAUAAUGAAGGAAAAGAAAUCUUUGGAGAACCACCGUAAGAAUUGAAAAAGAACGAAUAAAACCUAAAGAAACACCGGGAAGAAUUAAGCAAAUGAACGAAGACGCUUGAGAGAAUUUAGAUACAUGCGAGCGAAGAGAUCACGAGCUGAUUAGAGAUCACUUGAUGCACCGGUAAAAUUUGAGAAUGAUAGCUGAAAGCUGAGAAUGAAUAAACUCUGAGAUGAUGGACUACGGAGAAGCAAACUGAAAAGAAUCUUGAAAUGCUCCGGAUAGGUGAAAAUAAUUCUCACGAUCAAAAUAAUUACGAGAGGAUGGCAACAAGCUAGAAUCACGAAUCUUCGAGAUAUCUUUAGCACUGCGGAACAAAUGAAUAACGAAAAGUUAAUGAUUGAGAGGUGCACCGGCAAGAGAAGACAUUUGAAAAAAAGGAAAAGAAUAUGAUCAAACACCGAGAUCUUGAAUAGAAUCCACCGAGAAGAAAAUGAGUGAUGAGAGACGAACUAGUAGAACAACUUCUUGAGAACCACCAGGUAAGAAUAUUGACGAAAAGAAUGGAGAGGCUUCACAACAAUAAAAUGAUACUUGAAAAAGAAAUCUGGUUCCUUGAAGAAAAGGGUGGGAGGGAGGGAAAACAAAGGCAACUUGGGAUGGAAGAAAACAACACCGUUGAGAAGACUUGAGUUGAUCUUGCGAAUGUUGAAGUGAUCGGAUCCACUUGAAGAGAAGCACACCGGUUAAAAGGAUUGACAAAAACAAUCUUGAUGAUCAAGAAGGAUUGGUAUUCACAUAGAAAUAUGAGAACAACAUUUAGGAAAAGGUAUGGAAUCAACAUUUGACUUCGAAGCAACUCGAAUACCACAACUCAAAACAAAACAAGGAUUGGCUUGCAGAAUAAGCCAGAACAAACAUAUGAUAGAGAAUUCGUCCGAAGUUUUCGUGGUGGGGCCUACACGGGCUCGAUCGUACAACACCAUCAUGUACAAGGCAGUGCACAUGACAUACGAAGCGUCCCCGAGUCGGCAUAGCCAAGGACUCUUUAAGACACAACGAGACCACUGUAAAACCGACCGUGAAUAGGCGGACCACUAGACGUCGAACCCCAAUUUCAUAUCAUACAUCUGUCGGAAAGAUAUCCUAAGAACUACUUGAAUUCCCACCUAUGAAACUCCCGAACCUUUCCGGUUAUGCAAUCAGGUGUUGGGGAUACAGGGGAAGCAUAAUAUCUCACCCAAACUAACAAAUCCUACAUCCAGCUGUAUCCAUCCUCAACACAUAACCAAGAAACAUUCAGAAAUCAUCUACCUCAACCUUCGAAAAGCAUCCGUUAUACAAGUUAUGGCGAUACUCCUGAACUCCCGCCCCAGUACUGGGUGGCGUCGAGGUUAUCUCACCAACGAACUGCAUAAAAAGAUUUUCGAUGUCGGCGUACUAAACUCAGGUAUUCCAGAACUGCAACGAUAAAAUUAUGACGACAACACCUCAGAGCUCAACUCCCCGGGACACUUCCACAAAACCCCUGAUAGGAGGCACCAAGACAAUGUUCUCGUCAUAAAACCAUCGAAACGAUUCCAAGAUACCCGCGUGAUCCUAAAUUUUUUUUAGUGAAAUUUGAGAAGAGAAGAGUCAAAACUCUACGUCAGGAUGCCUUACCAGAGCGAUGAGGAGACUGGGAAGUAAAAAGAAUUCCUAAACUCUUCGAUAUAUAAUUCCUAAAUGACUCAAAACAUUUUUCUAGACACAACUCGGCCGCUAAAAACGAUCAAAAAAUGGGGCUCCUAAGGUCGGGGAAGGCUCUGAUUACCAACUUGUAACGCCCUCGAUGCGGCUAUAUCUCCCAUGUGUCGAAGCACGACUUAGAGGCAUAACCGCAUUGAAAGCAAUGUCGCAAGUGAGGUAAUCUUCACACAACCCAUGUAAUACAUAAGGAAAAAGAUACAUAGUUGGCUUACAAUCGCCACUUCACACAAUACAUGAAUAAAAAAUUACAUCAUCCAAAUACAAUCAAGGUCCAACUACGAAACCAAAAUAAAAGAAGAACCCCAAAUGCGACAAAGGUCCCCGAUCGACCCCAACUGGGCUCCACUACUGAUCAACUAGAACGAAACAACACAAAGGACAAGGUCUUCAUCGAGCUCCUCCUGAGCUUGGUUGCGUCAUCUGCACGGACUCAUCGGCACCUGCAAGCUG